CUCGUGUUAAACGAAGACAGUUUACAAUAUGGAAAAACUAUAAUUGUUGUUUUUUCAUAUAACGUGAUGAACCUCAUUUAAAAAUGAAACUCAUAAUACACUUGUAGGCCCGGCCCACAGAGAAAACUUAAGAAGCAAAGGUUUCCGACCUUCAUAAAUAUAUAUUUGUUUCGGCAAUCAAUGUACAAACUAUCCUUUAGUUUAGUGGUAUAAAUGUUGGUGUUUGUAACUCAAUAACCCGGGUUCGAGCAAUAGGCUUUACACUUUUUCACACUUUUUAAAAGUGGGACCCACCAAAAUACUGACGUGUCGGCUCAGGAAUGAAACAACUGCCUUAUUAUAUUAUAUUUUAAAAGUGGGACCUACCAAAAUGAUGACGUGUCGGCUCAGGAAUGAGGCAAGUGCCUUCCUCAUUAUAUUAUAGAUUCUAGGAGUGUAUAUCUUCUUAGAGAUCAAUCCCAUGUAAAGCGUAACAAUUUACCAAACUCUGUAUAUUUAUACGAUGUAUGAUAUCAAUGAAAAGGCAAGCGAAUUCACCUGCUUUCAAGAAGUAGGAUAUAUAAAACAUCAUAAAAAUCGAAGCAAAUUUACUAAAACGUAGGAUUAGAACUAGGCUGGUAUUCAAGUGUAUGGAACGCAUGUAUAUGGAACGUUAAUAUUGAUUUAACACUUUUAGUUAAUUAGUUUUCUACAGAAACUAUAGGAAACUCCAAAUCACAGAAACCAUAGAAGAACAAACAUGCCGACAAUUAACACUUUUACACUCUCUCCUAAAAUAAAAUCCAAAUCGGUGACCAAAGAUAUAUGGCUAGCUCACGCAACCAAUGCUUAGGGUACUUAAAC
RNAcentral lists this long non-coding RNA (843 nucleotides) under Brassica napus (rape). RNAcentral's name for it is "long non-coding RNA (BNAP_LNC014878)". Lineage: Eukaryota; Viridiplantae; Streptophyta; Magnoliopsida; Brassicales; Brassicaceae. The record is from RNAcentral.